UGCCAGCCGCCGCGGUAAUACAUAGGGGUCAAGCGUUGUUCGGAAUUACUGGGCGUAAAGCGCACGUAGGCGGAUUAGUAAGUUAGAGGUGAAAUCCCAGGGCUCAACCCUGGAACUGCCUUUAAUACUGCUAGUCUUGAGUUCGAGAGAGGUAAGUGGAAUUCCGAGUGUAGAGGUGAAAUUCGUAGAUAUCCGGAGGAACACCAGUGGCGAAGGCGGCUUACUGGCUCGAUACUGACGCUGAGGUGCGAAAGUGUGGGGAGCAAUCAGGAUUAGAUA
This 279-nucleotide ribosomal RNA is filed under the name uncultured bacterium. RNAcentral describes it as "partial 16S ribosomal RNA". It matches the Rfam family "Bacterial small subunit ribosomal RNA", at positions 506 to 784 of the family's 1533-position model. The record is from RNAcentral.